Molecule: ribosomal RNA, 196 nt
Filed under: Enterobacter hormaechei subsp. xiangfangensis
Lineage: Bacteria; Pseudomonadati; Pseudomonadota; Gammaproteobacteria; Enterobacterales; Enterobacteriaceae
Description: partial 23S ribosomal RNA
Rfam family: Bacterial large subunit ribosomal RNA
Source: RNAcentral
GUCUCCACCCGAGACUCAGUGAAAUUGAACUCGCUGUGAAGAUGCAGUGUACCCGCGGCAAGACGGAAAGACCCCGUGAACCUUUACUAUAGCUUGACACUGAACACUGGUCCUUGAUGUGUAGGAUAGGUGGGAGGCUUUGAAGCGUGGACGCCAGUCUGCGUGGAGCCAUCCUUGAAAUACCACCCUUUAAUGG